Carlito syrichta (Philippine tarsier) is the source of this 501-nucleotide long non-coding RNA. RefSeq lists it as uncharacterized. NCBI's taxonomy places the organism in Eukaryota, Metazoa, Chordata, Mammalia, Primates, Tarsiidae. The transcript has 2 exons. The record is from RefSeq and is a predicted model, not a curated record.
CUGCUAAGUGACAAAUUUCUAUUUUCACCAAAUUAAAGUCAGAUGGCUCCAGAAUAAACAGGAGAAGACUGCUGGAGUUGUGUCCACACCUUCUAUUCAGAAUAGGGCUCAUGCACUGAUAUUUUCUUCCUGGGAUCUGCUACCUCUUCGUCUCGGUCUUGUGUUGGCUUUGCCCUUGUCUUUAGUUCUCAGACUUCUUUCUACAAGUCCUGUGAGCAAGCCGUUUCUGCCAGCUCUGUCACCCAUCAGGAUCUGACACCCACAGUGACUGAGAAGCUGUUGUGGGUCUUCUCUUAUUCUUGUCUUUCCUGAAUUUGUGCCUGGGGCUCUGCUCUCCACCAGGAUGAUAGAAGCUCUGCCUGCUAUGUCUGUUUGGAUCAUAAAUGCUUUCAAUAAGCAUUUAUGAUCUUGUUCUCUUUCUGAAGACUGCCUGUGAAUCAGAUGUAGAACUCCUUUAUCUUUCAAUAAUCUCCCCCCCAAAUUAAAUAGACUUGUGAGUCA